This 253-nucleotide ribosomal RNA is filed under the name uncultured bacterium. Its description in RNAcentral is "partial 16S ribosomal RNA". It matches the Rfam family "Bacterial small subunit ribosomal RNA", at positions 524 to 776 of the family's 1533-position model. The record is from RNAcentral.
UACGGAGGGUGCAAGCGUUAUCCGGAAUCACUGGGUUUAAAGGGUGCGUAGGCGGCCUGGUAAGUCAGGGGUGAAAGCUUCCCGCUCAACGGGAGAACUGCCCUUGAUACUGCCAGGCUCGAAUUGGGUUGAGGCCGGCGGAACGUGGCAUGUAGCGGUGAAAUGCUUAGAUAUGCCAUAGAACACCGAUUGCGAAGGCAGCCGGCCAAGCCUUGAUUGACGCUGAGGCACGAAAGCGUGGGGAGCGAACAGG